UACGGAGGGUGCAAGCGUUAUCCGGAUUUAUUGGGUUUAAAGGGUCCGUAGGCGGGAUGAUAAGUCAGUGGUGAAAGCCCACAGCUCAACUGUGGAACUGCCAUUGAAACUGUCGUUCUUGAAUCUAGUUGAAGUGAACGGAAUGUAACAUGUAGCGGUGAAAUGCAUAGAUAUGUUACAGAACACCAAUUGCGAAGGCAGUUCACUAAACUAGUAUUGACGCUAAGGGACGAAAGCGUGGGUAGCGAACAGG
Molecule: ribosomal RNA, 253 nt
Filed under: uncultured bacterium
Lineage: Bacteria
Description: partial 16S ribosomal RNA
Rfam family: Bacterial small subunit ribosomal RNA
Source: RNAcentral